AGGUCCGAACCCACGAGCGUUGAAAAGCUCGGGGAUGACUUGUGGGUAGCGGUGAAAUUCCAAUCGAGCCCGGAGAUAGCUGGUUCUCCCCGAAAUAGCUUUAGGGCUAGCCUCAAGGUGAGAGAUACGGAGGUAGAGCACUGAAUGUCCUAGGGGUAUUGCACCUACCGAAGACUAUCAAACUCCGAAUGCCGUCAUCUUAUACUUGGGAGUCAGACUGUGGGUGAUAAGAUUCAUAGUCGAAAGGGCAACAGCCCAGAUCGUCAGCUAAGGUCCCUAAAUGUAAGUUAAGUGGUAAAGGAUGUGGGAUUGCACAGACAACCAGGAUGUUGGCUUAGAAGCAGCCACUCAUUCAAAGAGUGCGUAAUAGCUCACUGGUCGAGUGAUCCUGCGCCGAAGAUUUCCGGGGCUAAAACUUACUACCGAAGCUACGGCAUCAGUAAUGAUGGGUAGGGGAGCUUCCCAUACGGGUUGAAGCAUGACCGUAAGGACAUGUGGACAGUAUGGGAGUGAGAAUGUUGGCAUGAGUAGCGAGAUGUGGGUGAGAAUCCCACAGGCCGUAAACCCAAGGUUUCCAGGGAAGGUUCGUCCGCCCUGGGUUAGUCGGGACCUAAGCUGAGGCCGAAAGGCGUAGGUGAUGGACAACAGGUUGAUAUUCCUGUACUACCGAUAACCGUUUGAGAGAAGGGAUGACACAGUAGGAUAAGCUAAGCACACUGUUGGUUAUGUGUGCCCAAGCAUUGAGGCAGUCAAAGUAGGCAAAUCCGCUUUGAUAAUGCUGGGAUGUGAUGGGGAGCGAAAUUUAGUAGCGAAGUAGCUGAUUUCACACUGUCAAGAAAAGUCUCUAUCGAGGUUAAAGGUACCCGUACCGCAAACCGACACAGGUGGGUGAGGAGAGUAUCCUAAGGCCAGCGAGAGAACUGUUGUUAAGGAACUCGGCAAAAUGACCCCGUAACUUAGGGAUAAGGGGUGCCACCAUCAGGUGGCCGCAGAGAAUAGGCCCAAGCGACUGUUUACCAAAAACAUAGGUUUCUGCUAAGUCGCAAGACGAUGUAUAGGAGCUGACGCCUGCCCGGUGCUGGAAGGUUAAGGGGAUCUGUUAGAGCAAUCGAAGCAGUGAACUUAAGCCCCAGUAAACGGCGGCCGUAACUAUAACGGUCCUAAGGUAGCGAAAUUCCUUGUCGGGUAAGUUCCGACCCGCACGAAAGGCGUAACGAUUUGGGCACUGUCUCAACAACAGACUCGGUGAAAUUGUAAUUCCGGUGAAGAUGCCGGAUACCUGCGACAGGACGGAAAGACCCCAUGGAGCUUUACUGUAGCUUGACAUUGGGUCUUGGUACUACAUGUACAGGAUAGGUGGGAGGCUUUGAAACCAGGACGCCAGUUUUGGCGGAGCCAUCCUUGGGAUACCACCCUUGUAGUACUGGGACUCUAACCAUAGGCCAUGAAUCUGGUCUUGGGACACUGUCAGGUGGGCAGUUUGACUGGGGCGGUCGCCUCCCAAAAGGUAACGGAGGCGCUCAAAGGUUCUCUCAGUACGGUCGGAAAUCGUACGUAGAGUGUAAAGGCAAAAGAGAGCUUGAUUGCAAGACAUACAGGUCGAGCAAGGAUGAAAAUCGGACUUAGUGAUCCGGUGGUUCUGCGUGGAAGGGCCAUCGCUCAACGGAUAAAAGCUACCCUGGGGAUAACAGGCUUAUCUCCCCCAAGAGUCCACAUCGACGGGGAGGUUUGGCACCUCGAUGUCGGCUCAUCACAUCCUGGGGCUGUAGUAGGUCCCAAGGGUUGGGCUGUUCGCCCAUUAAAGUGGUACGCGAGCUGGGUUCAGAACGUCGUGAGACAGUUCGGUCCCUAUCCGUCGCAGGCGUAGGAAAUUUGAGAAGACCUGUCCUUAGUACGAGAGGACCGGGAUGGACGUACUCUGGUGUACCAGUUGUCCUGCCAAGGGCAUGGCUGGGUAGCUAUGUACGGAAUGGAUAAGCGCUGAAAGCAUCUAAGCGCGAAGCCAACUUCAAGAUAAGAUUUCCCACCGCAAGGGUAAGACCCCAGAAAGACUAUCUGGUUGAUAGGUCGAAGGUGUAAGUGCAGCAAUGUAUUUAGCUUAUCGAUACUAAUAGGUCGAGGACUUGACCAAU
RNAcentral lists this ribosomal RNA (2132 nucleotides) under Clostridioides difficile. RNAcentral describes it as "partial 23S ribosomal RNA". It matches the Rfam family "Bacterial large subunit ribosomal RNA", at positions 770 to 2925 of the family's 2925-position model. The record is from RNAcentral. Lineage: Bacteria; Bacillati; Bacillota; Clostridia; Peptostreptococcales; Peptostreptococcaceae.